CCCAGUCAACCUUCCACCGCCCCUCACACAGACUCUUCCCCAUUCUUCGCUCACUUCCUCCUCCUAAUCUCGCGAUCCCCAUCCACGGCCCGAGCUCUUUGGUGGCCGCCCCUCCCCUUCGUCAGUGACGCCGGCGGGCGCGCAUGCCCCUGCUCUGCCCUGCCCCUCCCCUUCAUCAGCACCGCCGGCGGGCGCGCAAGCCCCUGCUCUGCCCACCCCUUCUUCCUAUUCGGUGACGCCGGUGCCCUCCCUCCUCUGGUGCGGAGGGGCGCUCGAGCUCGGCAUGCUCACCGGCGACGUCGGGGCCUUCCCUCGUGGUGAUGCACUCGCCCCCUCCUCCUGGCGAUGGCGGGCCUCUCAUGCUCGACAUGGUCGCCAGCGACGUCGCGCCACGAACUUCCCUCCCCCCUGCUCGGGACGCCAUGAAGGACCAGGAGCAGUUGCUGCUCGCAACCUCCAACUUGAUUAGGAUGACCACGAUGACCUCUGCGUGCUGUGCUGCUGCUCGGGACCCUCCCCCUGUGCUUCUCCUCGCUCGUCCUGGUCCAGUUAGUUAAGUAAUGUACCCUUAGUGGCCGUGUUGGACAGGAGGGGCCAGAGAAGUGCUUCUGGUUGUUUGAAGAAUGUGAGUCUGACAUCAUAGGUUUCCAUUUUAUGAAGAAACCAUCAAGGGAAGAAUUACACCUGGUCCGGGGUCCGUGCAGGGCGGGGGCGGCCGCACGGGUGUUGGGCGGGUUCGUGGGCACUGGCGAUCUGGCGGACUUCUGGCACACUGCGAGGGGGCAGGGCAGCCUCCUGGGCGCCCGCUACGUCGAUGGUGCAUGGAGGCGGCUGCAUGGUGGAGUGGCGCGAGGUCGCCGUCUGGAGAAGACGGUGUUGGCGCGAUGGCGACGGAAGGCAGAGAGGGCCAUGCGCGAUUGGGCUAGGAGAAUCAAUUAUUUCCUUAGUCUGAGAUUAGAAGUGUUGGAUUGUUUAAUAGUAGUGGAGUUGGAGAUGGAGAUUCCCCGAUUGUCGGGGGGGGGACCGAUAGUUGGAGGGAAGGCUUCCCUAGUCUCCUGGUGAAGCACGGUCAGUCAAUGAAAAUUGUUAGGUGCACACCAUACCGGUAUUAGAUCAAUGAUGGCCGUUAGAUUCAGAUU
Triticum urartu is the source of this 1139-nucleotide non-coding RNA. The record is from RefSeq and is a predicted model, not a curated record. Lineage: Eukaryota; Viridiplantae; Streptophyta; Magnoliopsida; Poales; Poaceae.